This 406-nucleotide ribosomal RNA is filed under the name uncultured bacterium. RNAcentral's name for it is "bacterial SSU rRNA". It matches the Rfam family "Bacterial small subunit ribosomal RNA", at positions 1097 to 1501 of the family's 1533-position model. The record is from RNAcentral.
CGCAACCCCUGCUUUCAGUUACUAACGGGUCAAGCCGAGAACUCUGGAGAGACUGCCCAGGAGAACGGGGAGGAAGGUGGGGAUGACGUCAAGUCAGCAUGGCCUUUAUGCCUGGGGCUACACACGUGCUACAAUGGCCGGUACAAAGGGCUGCAAACCCGUAAGGGGAAGCGAAUCUCAAAAAACCGGCCUCAGUUCAGAUCGAGGUCUGCAACUCGACCUCGUGAAGGCGGAAUCGCUAGUAAUCCCGGAUCAGCACGCCGGGGUGAAUACGUUCCCGGGCCUUGUACACACCGCCCGUCACACCACGAAAGUUUGUUGUACCUGAAGUCGUUGGCGCCAACCGCAAGGAGGCAGACGCCCACGGUAUGACCGAUGAUUGGGGUGAAGUCGUAACAAGGUAAAG